This 358-nucleotide unclassified non-coding RNA is filed under the name Hevea brasiliensis (rubber tree). The record is from RNAcentral. Lineage: Eukaryota; Viridiplantae; Streptophyta; Magnoliopsida; Malpighiales; Euphorbiaceae.
AAACCCUCAACCAUGAUGGACUUCAGGGUCAUAAGGAGUGGCUUGCUGAAGUUAGUUUUCUUGGCAACCUUCUCCAUCCCAACUUGGUUAAAUUGAUUGGUUAUUGUAUUGAAGAUGAUCAGAGGUUACUGGUGUACGAGUUUAUGCCAAGAGGAAGUUUGGAGAACCACCUCUUCAGAAGGUCCUUGCCUCUUCCUUGGUCAAUCAGAGUGAAAAUUGCACUUGGUGCUGCAAAGGGUCUUGCCUUCCUUCAUGAAGAGGCUGAAAGAUCAGUGAUAUAUCGUGAUUUUAAGACAUCUAAUAUCUUAUUAGAUGCGGAUUAUAAUGCCAAGCUCUCUGAUUUUGGACUUGCCAAAGA